UGCCCAUGAUUGAAGAUGGCCAUCCCACA
RNAcentral lists this non-coding RNA (29 nucleotides) under Homo sapiens (human). Lineage: Eukaryota; Metazoa; Chordata; Mammalia; Primates; Hominidae. The record is from RNAcentral.